CCUCCGCGGAGGGGCCCGGGCCGCGCAGGUGCGCGCCGGGGGGAACGCGAGCUCGGCUUCUUCUGGUUAGAAAAGGAAGAGCGGGCGAGAGAGAGAGAGAGAGAGAGAGGAGGGUGCGAGAAAGGGAGAGGAAGAAGAAAGCGCGAGGCGAGGCGAGGCCGCCGGACCGCAACCCGGCGCCGAGGCCGGGGCUUUCCCGUGGUGCGUGAUAGAGCUGCCUCGGGUCCUACUUGCGCUCUUGUUUACUAGCAAAAUGUGAGAUCUGAAGGAGAGGAGGAGAGAGAGAGGUUCUAACGGGGAAAAAUUAUUGACAGACUAAAAUCGUACCUGUUCCCCAACCAAGCCAGCCUUCUUGAUGGGGUAAAGAUUGCCAACAUUAAUUUUUGAUGAAUAAGAGAACAAAUCAGCAUGUUCUACCUAGAAGAAGCUAUUGAUAGUAUUUUUUCUUUAUUGGAGGUGAAGAGAAGACAGAAAUUGUGUUCCUCUCAUUAUAAAUCACUCAAUGGACUGAUUUUUGUUGCUCUCAUUAACUUUUGGUGUGAAAACUGUUACAGAUGAAAUAUGAAGUUAAAAAAAAAAAGAAAUAUGAAGUUAGCCACAACCCAGGAAGUAAAUCAAGUAGGAAGAUUUAGGACUUACUUCCUACGAUUUACUUCCUACCCGCCAACUUCUAAGUGACCAAGUCUGAUAAAUUGCUAUAUGAUUUUAAAGCUAUUUUAACAUGUAAAAAGUUGUUUUUAAGAUUUUAUUUAUUUAUUCAUUAGAGACAGACAGAGAGAGAGAGAGAGGCAGAAACAUAGGCAGAGGGAGAAGCAGGCUUCCCUGUGGGUGAGCCUGAUGUGGGACUCGAUCCCAGGACCCCAGGAUCAGGCCCUGAGCCAAAGGCAGAUGAUCAACCACUAAGUCACCCAGGCGUCCCAACAUGUAAAAAGUUUUUAUUAGUUGCCAUACUCUCAUGUUUAGGUAGGAACAGCAAGGCAAAAUAAAAUUUGGCCUUACACAUCAAGGAAGCUAUAUAGAUGGGAAACUGAGAAAACUACCUUGCAUAAAACUAGACAAUAAUCAAAUAACAUAUUUUCUUAAGGAUCCUUGAGAUGAGAUUGACGAAAGGGAAAAGAGAAAUGGGGAGAGUGUGUAUUUCUUUUUUGCUAGGGGAAGUACCUCCAGUAAUUAGUUCUCAGAAAGGGGCAGGGGCAGUUGUCUACUGGGUUCACCAUAGAACCAAAGGUAGAUACUUCUGGAAAGUGCAAUCAGAAAGUGACCCAGGGUGGUGAGGGGCCAGUCUGCCUCAAAGCAAGAGCAGAAUUAAUCAUUUCCAUGCCCAUCCUAUGUGAAAUAGAUCAAUCAUGUAUAAAGUCUUCAGAAGAGAAGGGAAUAGAUUUUACAGUUUCAGUUAGAAGAUAGUACUUAGUGUUUCAGGAAAUGUGGGUGGUUGAUGCAACUGCAUUACCAACCCCUGGGUAAAGCUAAAAAAAAAAAAAACCUGUUUCAUGCCUAUAUGCAAAUAAGAUAAAA
Long non-coding RNA from Canis lupus familiaris (dog), 1515 nucleotides. RefSeq lists it as uncharacterized. The transcript has 2 exons. NCBI's taxonomy places the organism in Eukaryota, Metazoa, Chordata, Mammalia, Carnivora, Canidae. The record is from RefSeq and is a predicted model, not a curated record.